This 1372-nucleotide ribosomal RNA is filed under the name uncultured bacterium. RNAcentral's name for it is "bacterial SSU rRNA". It matches the Rfam family "Bacterial small subunit ribosomal RNA", at positions 28 to 1381 of the family's 1533-position model. The record is from RNAcentral.
GAUGAACGCUGGCGGCGUGCCUAAUACAUGCAAGUCGAGCGAACAGACGAGGAGCUUGCUCCUUUGACGUUAGCGGCGGACGGGUGAGUAACACGUGGGUAACCUACCUAUAAGACUGGGAUAACUUCGGGAAACCGGAGCUAAUACCGGAUAAUAUUUCGAACCGCAUGGUUCGAUAGUGAAAGAUGGCUUUGCUAUCACUUAUAGAUGGACCUGCGCCGUAUUAGCUAGUUGGUAAGGUAACGGCUUACCAAGGCAACGAUACGUAGCCGACCUGAGAGGGUGAUCGGCCACACUGGAACUGAGACACGGUCCAGACUCCUACGGGAGGCAGCAGUAGGGAAUCUUCCGCAAUGGGCGAAAGCCUGACGGAGCAACGCCGCGUGAGUGAUGAAGGUCUUCGGAUCGUAAAACUCUGUUAUUAGGGAAGAAUAAACGUGUAAGUAACUGUGCACGUCUUGACGGUACCUAAUCAGAAAGCCACGGCUAACUACGUGCCAGCAGCCGCGGUAAUACGUAGGUGGCAAGCGUUAUCCGGAAUUAUUGGGCGUAAGCGCGCGUAGGCGGUUUUUUAAGUCUGAUGUGAAAGCCCACGGCUCAACCCGUGGAGGGUCAUUGGAAACUGGAAAACUUGAGUGCAGAUGAGGAAAGUGGAAUUCCAUGUGUAGCGGUGAAAUGCGCAGAGAUAUGGAGGAACACCAGUGGCGAAGGCGACUUUCUGGUCUGUAACUGACGCUGAUGUGCGAAAGCGUGGGGAUCAAACAGGAUUAGAUACCCUGGUAGUCCACGCCGUAAACGAUGAGUGCUAAGUGUUAGGGGGUUUCCGCCCCUUAGUGCUGCAGCUAACGCAUUAAGCACUCCGCCUGGGGAGUACGACCGCAAGGUUGAAACUCAAAGGAAUUGACGGGGACCCGCACAAGCGGUGGAGCAUGUGGUUUAAUUCGAAGCAACGCGAAGAACCUUACCAAAUCUUGACAUCCUUUGACCCUUCUAGAGAUAGAAGUUUCCCCUUCGGGGGACAAAGUGACAGGUGGUGCAUGGUUGUCGUCAGCUCGUGUCGUGAGAUGUUGGGUUAAGUCCCGCAACGAGCGCAACCCUUAAGCUUAGUUGCCAUCAUUAAGUUGGGCACUCUAAGUUGACUGCCGGUGACAAACCGGAGGAAGGUGGGGAUGACGUCAAAUCAUCAUGCCCCUUAUGAUUUGGGCUACACACGUGCUACAAUGGACAAUACAAAGGGCAGCGAAACCGCGAGGUCAAGCAAAUCCCAUAAAGUUGUUCUCAGUUCGGAUUGUAGUCUGCAACUCGACUACAUGAAGCUGGAAUCGCUAGUAAUCGUAGAUCAGCAUGCUACGGUGAAUACGUUCCCGGGUCU